RNAcentral lists this transfer RNA (65 nucleotides) under Pachygrapsus marmoratus (marbled crab). Its description in RNAcentral is "tRNA-Phe". Lineage: Eukaryota; Metazoa; Arthropoda; Malacostraca; Decapoda; Grapsidae. The record is from RNAcentral.
AUUUAUAUAAUUUAUUCAGAAUAUUGCAUUGAAGCUGCAAAAGAGACAGUAGAUGUCUGUAAAUA